Molecule: ribosomal RNA, 468 nt
Filed under: uncultured bacterium
Lineage: Bacteria
Description: partial 16S ribosomal RNA
Rfam family: Bacterial small subunit ribosomal RNA
Source: RNAcentral
GACGAACGCUGGCGGCGUGCUUAACACAUGCAAGUCGAACGGAAAGGCCCUGCUUUUGUGGGGUGCUCGAGUGGCGAACGGGUGAGUAACACGUGAGUAACCUGCCCUUGACUUUGGGAUAACUUCAGGAAACUGGGGCUAAUACCGGAUAGGAGCUCCUGCUGCAUGGUGGGGGUUGGAAAGUUUCGGCGGUUGGGGAUGGACUCGCGGCUUAUCAGCUUGUUGGUGGGGUAGUGGCUUACCAAGGCUUUGACGGGUAGCCGGCCUGUGAGGGUGACCGGCCACAUUGGGACUGAGAUACGGCCCAGACUCCUACAGGAGGCAGCAGUGGGGAAUAUUGCACAAUGGGCGGAAGCCUGAUGCAGCAACGCCGCGUGCGGAAUGACGGCCUUCGGGUUGUAAACCGCUUUCGCCUGUGACGAAGCGUGAGUGACGGUAAUGAGUAAAGAAGCACCGGCUAACUACGUG